UCUCUCACAUCAUCUUCUACUUUCUGUCCUUCAAACCGCGUUCUAUUUCUUCUCCUCUGCCACACUCUUUCAAAGAAACCAACAAAACCGACCCUGGAAACACAAAGGUCUCAACACCAAACCACUUCAUCUCAUCUCCACCAACACAAAUUUCCCAACAAUUUGAAGAAACAAACAACAAAAAUUAUUAAAAUCAAGAUUUUCCCUUUUAAAAUCCUAACUGCAAUUCACGCAAAAUCGAAAACAAUCGUGAACAAAUUAAUGUAUAACGUAAAAUUGAGCAUCAAAGCGAGGAUGAAAGUACUGAAAGAAAGUAAAAAGAGGAAAAGAAUACAUAUCUCUGCAUUUCUUCUAGCAAUAUCCCGACGAGGUUCCGGUAGGUAUUUCUUUAUUUCUCUGAGCUCUGUCUAUAUCCCUUCUAAGUCCUCUUCUAAAAACUGGGGGUCGAACAACCAUAUGAGGAGGAUAAACAGAUUCAUCCCUUAUAGAAGAAGAAGAAUUAGGGAUAAAAUUAGGAGUUUCAGUAGAAUGAGGUUGUUGAGCCAUUAA
This is a non-coding RNA of Vicia faba (fava bean), 549 nucleotides long. The record is from the annotation of a GenBank genome assembly. NCBI's taxonomy places the organism in Eukaryota, Viridiplantae, Streptophyta, Magnoliopsida, Fabales, Fabaceae.